CAAAAUCUAUACCUAUUCCUGGACCACCGAGAAUGGUGGACUCCCCCCUCGCUUGGCUGCCAGGGCCUUCCGGGGAGGGAGCCUGCCGGCCACCCGGAAGUGACCGGUACUGUCUGGGGGGUGUUGGAGCUGCAGGUCAGCGGCGGAAUCGGUCGUACAAAGUGCAAGGGCGCAGGACCCGAGCGCUGCCUCCCGCCGCCGGGCUGGCCUGCGGGGCGCCCCGGGCGGCUGCAGGCUGUUGGGCCCUCUUGGGGCCAGUGCUGGGUGCUUGAAGAGGGUGUGAGAAAGAAGUCCUCUCCUCUGCUUGGCUUGGGCAAGGCUCAAGAUGUAGAUGUGCUGCCCUGCGAAUCCCUUUGCCCACGGAACUGAUGUCGACGAGACCCGUUGAAAGGUCAGCAUUACUGUGUCCCUUGCCCAGCUUCCCAUGGUGUGCCACACUUCCUGCCCUACACAGGAUAAAGUAGAAUAAAGUCUGUUAUUCAGAAGCUUCA
This 491-nucleotide long non-coding RNA is filed under the name Oryctolagus cuniculus (rabbit). RNAcentral's name for it is "lncRNA (ENSOCUG00000032496.1)". Lineage: Eukaryota; Metazoa; Chordata; Mammalia; Lagomorpha; Leporidae. The record is from RNAcentral.